Molecule: ribosomal RNA, 478 nt
Filed under: uncultured bacterium
Lineage: Bacteria
Description: partial 16S ribosomal RNA
Rfam family: Bacterial small subunit ribosomal RNA
Source: RNAcentral
GACGAACGCUGGCGGCGUGCUUAACACAUGCAAGUCGAACGGUAAGGCCCUUCGGGGUACACGAGUGGCGAACGGGUGAGUAACACGUGGGUGAUCUGCCCUGCACUUCGGGAUAAGCCUGGGAAACUGGGUCUAAUACCGGAUAGGACCCUGGGAUGCAUGUCCUGGGGUGGCAAGCUUUUGCGGUGUGGGAUGGGCCCGCGGCCUAUCGGCUCGUUGGUGGGGUGAUGGCCUACCAAGGCGACGAGGGGUAGCCGGCCUGAGAGGGGGACCUGCCAAGCUGGGACGGGGAUACGGCCCAGACUCCUACGGGAGGCAGGAGUGGGGAAUAGUGCACGAUGGGCGCAAGCCUGACGCAGCGACGCCGCGUGAGGGAUGACGGCCUUCGGGUUGUAAACCUCUUUCAGCACCGACGAAGCGCAAGUGACGGUAGGUGCAGAAGAAGGACCGGCCAACUACGUGCCAGCCGCCGCCGUAA